GNNNNGGUAGGGCGGAGACAGGGGCAGGUCCAGUCCCCAGGGGCCAGAGGCAGGGCUUACGUAAGGGGGCACAGCUCUGGGGUAAACAGGGCCCGGAGAGGGUGGGCCUCCCGAGUAGGAUCCAGACUUCUGCCCUGCAGGACCGGAAGCCCCCCCCUCAAGUGCAAGGCUCCCACCCUCCUGGGCUGAGAGCCCUGUGGAUGAGGAACCAGACCUUCCCCUCCCACACGGGGACACACACACACACACACACACACACACACACACCCCAAGUGCAGAGAAAAGAGGUGGGGUCCCUCUGGCCAAGCCCAGUCAGGGAUGGAGUGAGUUGGGGAUUACAGGUCAGGUGUCCCAGGGCCUAGACCAGUCAUGCAGAAAGCAGAACCCGCCCUCUCCCAGAGGACAGGGCGUUUGGGCCCUGGCAAGCUCUGGUUCCUGUCUCCACCACGUGUGGCCCCCAGGACCGGUGACCCGGGGCGGUCCAGCAUGCCUGACAGAGGCCCUCGUGUGUGCAGGGUAAGGGGCAGCCCAGGGCAGGUGGCAUCUAUGCAAGACAACAUCUAUGCGUCCCCCUGGCGCCCAGGACACGGGACCUGACCCAACCGGAAACAGCUUCCCCUCGGGCGCCAAGGGCAGCUGAGUGAGGAUGCAGGCAGAAUUUGUGGCAGUGGUCCUGGGGGGAUGCUCCCAGGAGAAGGGGAUCAGCCGUGGCCUCCUUCUCCCCUUCCUGAAGCCCAUUCCAGCGUCUGCUCUCCCCCUUCUCAGGAUGGCAUAAGCAGGACGGAGGAUCCCCCCCCCCCCAACUGCUGGGGCCCCAGAGGGAGCCUGCGUCUCUCGGCUCCGGCAGCCGGAAUGAAGGCUGCGCUAGCUGUUACUCAGAUCUGCAGUCUGUGCCAGGAGCUGGGCCUGAAGGAAGGAAGGUCCUUGCAGGUUACCUCGGCUUUUUGGUCCAUCAGGUUCUAAGAGGUACUGAUAGGCUAUUUUGCCCAUCAGGACCCAAUACCCUUCCCUGCCUCCCAACUUGGAGCCGACCUCGGGCCCUCCCAGCUGAGCCCAAAAGGGGACUAGGCGUGCAGGCUGCAUUAAAGGGCUGAUUGGAGACACUAAGAACUGAUUGCCUUUCUGAAGAGCCACUUUACCCUGGAACAAAUAGGGAGAUGAGAUUCUUCAAACUGUGCUCUCAAGUGAACCACUUCUCGGAAAUCAGACGCUGAUCAAAGAUCUCAAGUUCUGCUUUACAUAAAAGACCCAGACGUGUUAAUACACGCUGUCAGUUCCCUGAGAUUUGGAAAUGCAGGGGUUUUACGGAUUUUUUUUUUUUAUUUUGGCUGUGUCUGCCAGCAUGUAGAAAUUCCCAGGCCAGGGAUGGAACUCACGCCACCGCAGAGACCCACGCCACGGCAGUGACGACUCUGGAUCCUUCAUCCACUGAGCCACCGGGGGACGCCAGGAAAUACAGCUGUAACCAAAACAAGAAGUGCAUAAACCCUGCCUCCAAACACUCUCUUCCUUUAUUAAUCUUGUAAGUAUGGUGGAUUCACAGGGGUGUGCCGAAGUCUAUGGUACCGCAGGGUGACGUGGUUACACAUAUAGGUAUAUUUCUUUCUCAUAUCAUCUUCCAUCCUGGUCUAUCCCAAGAGGCUGGAUGGAGUUCCCCGUGCUGGACAGCGGGACCUCACUGCUUAUCCAUUCUCAAGGGCAAAGUUUGCAUCUACGAACCCCAAACUCCCCGUCCAGUCCACUCCUUCUCCCUUGGCAACCCCACAUCUGUUCUGUCUUUCGCUGAGUCUAACAUCUGUUCUGCAGACAGCUUCACCUGCGGCAUAUUUUAGAUUCCACGUAAAAGGAAUAUCCUAUGGGAUUUAUCUUUCUCUGACUGGCUUCCUUUAGUGCGGCACAACCCUACAAAGCAACACUCACUAAAAAACUUGUUCAGCAAAACUCUCCAUUGUCAUGGCAAGCAGCUUUCAAUUGGCAACCUGCUACCGGGUCAAAGAGUUUUCAGUUUCAUCCCGUCUCUUAAAAAACCUUCUGCAAGGAAGGAAAUUGUAAAGAUCAAAGAAGAAAUCAAUAAAAUAGAGACUCAAAAAACA
RNAcentral lists this long non-coding RNA (2093 nucleotides) under Sus scrofa (pig). Its description in RNAcentral is "lncRNA (ENSSSCG00025017095.1)". The record is from RNAcentral. Lineage: Eukaryota; Metazoa; Chordata; Mammalia; Artiodactyla; Suidae.